RNAcentral lists this ribosomal RNA (394 nucleotides) under uncultured soil bacterium. RNAcentral describes it as "bacterial SSU rRNA". It matches the Rfam family "Bacterial small subunit ribosomal RNA", at positions 26 to 431 of the family's 1533-position model. The record is from RNAcentral.
AGAUUGAACGCUGGCGGCAUGCCUAACACAUGCAAGUCGAACGGGAGUAGCAAUACUCUAGUGGCGGACGGGUGAGGAAUACGUAGGAAUUUGCCCUUAAGUGGGGGAUAACCCGGGGAAACCCGGAUUAAUACCGCAUGACCUCGAAAGAGCAAAGUGGGGGAUCGCAAGACCUCACGCUUUUGGAGAAGCCUACGUCGGAUUAGCUAGUUGGUGAGGUAAUGGCUCACCAAGGCGACGAUCCGUAACUGGUCUGAGAGGAUGAUCAGUCACACCGGAACUGAGACACGGUCCGGACUCCUACGGGAGGCAGCAGUGGGGAAUAUUGGACAAGUGGGCGCAAGCCUGAUCCAGCAAUGCCGCGUGUGUGAAGAAGGCCUUCGGGUUGUAAAGA